AACUUUGAGAGGAGGAGAAGAGAAGAAAGGAUCAGAUUUGACUCAUCAAAGAGGAAAACCAAACUUGGACGAACCAGAGACGUCCAAACCAGCAAGACGACAUCUCUGCUCCCAGAUUGGAAAGAGUUUUGCCAAGUUAGGAAGCCUGAAAAGACAUAAGAGUCUCACAGGGGAAAAGCCAUACCACUGCUCCUUGUGUGGAAAGGGUUUUAGACAGCAAGGAAGCCUGAAAGCUCACGGCCGAAUACACACAGGGGAGAAGCCUUACCACUGCUCCCAUUGUGGAAAGGGUUUUAGACAGCAAGGAAGCCUGAAAGUUCACGGCCGAAUACACACAGGGGAGAAGCCUUACCACUGCUCCCAUUGUGGAAAGAGUUUUAACAGGUUAGGAGGCCUAAUAACUCAUGAGCGAAUACACACAGGGGAGAAGCCAUACCGUUGCGCCCAGUGUGGAAAGAGUUUUGGCUCGUUAGGAAACCUGCAAUCUCAUGCAAGAUUACACACAGGGGAGAAGCCAUACCAUUGCACCCAUUGUGGAAAGAGUUUUCGCAUGUUAGGAAACCUGCAGUCUCAUCUGAGAAUACACACUGGGGAGAAGCCAUACCAUUGUGCCCAGUGUGGAAAGAGUUUUAGCAUGUUAGGAAACAUGAAAGCUCAUCAGCAAAUACACACAGGGGAUAAGCCUUACCACUGCUCCCAGUGUGGAUCUAGGUUUACCAGGUUAGGAAGCCUGAAAAGACAUGUGGACACACACCGAAGCCUUUCCAUUGCGCCCUGUGUGGAAUGAGUUUUAACCAUUUAGGAAGCCUGAAAAGAAAUGAGAGAAUACACACAGGGGAGAAGCCUUUCCAUUGCGCCCUGUGUGGAAUGAGUUUUAGCUUGAUAGGAAACAUGAAAUAUCAUGAUCUAAAUACACCCAUGGGAGAAGCCUUACAAAUGUCACUUAUAAGGCAGGUGAGGAUCCACACAGAGAAAAAUAACUUCUCCUACUGUGUAAACUGAUAUUUCACAUCACAUUGACUUAAAAUUCAUCAGAGAACAUACACAGUGCUCCCAUUGUCUUAUUUUAAUGACUGUGUUUAAUUGUUUAUACCAUAUGAAAUUGAAUUGUACAAAGCAUACUCUAAAAUAUAUUUGUAUGUUUUUAUUAGAAAAUAAAACUGAAUAUGGAGUCUGUCCGUUUGAAUAUAGAGUAGAUCAGAUUCCGUGUGUUUAAAUGGUCCUUUUUUAAAGUCUGACAUUGUGUGUUUAUCUGGAUGUGUCAUUCCUCCAGCACCAUUGAUAAUCAGAAUAAGACCCAUUGAUAAUCAGAAUAAGACCUUCAAAUAUGUCACCAUCAAUCAUCAUGUCACCACAACAACAGACAUUUACAAGCCUACCACUGGUUGAAUAAACGU
This is a long non-coding RNA of Oncorhynchus kisutch (coho salmon), 1397 nucleotides long. RefSeq lists it as uncharacterized. The transcript is spliced from 2 exons. The record is from RefSeq and is a predicted model, not a curated record. Lineage: Eukaryota; Metazoa; Chordata; Actinopteri; Salmoniformes; Salmonidae.